GAAAUGCGAUACGUAAUGUGAAUUGCAGAAUUCAGUGAAUCAUCGAAUCUUUGAACGCACCUUGCGCCCCUUGGCAUUCCGAGGGGCACACCCGUUUGAGUGUCGUGAAAUCCUCAACCCUUCUCCCUUUUUGGGGAAAGGGUUUGGAAUUUGGAGGCUUUUGCUGGCCCCUUCUUUUGAAGCCAGCUCCUCUUAAAUGCRUUAGCAGGGCCUCCUUAGCCGGAUCCCUUGACGUGAUAAAGUUUUUACGUCCCGGGGCUUCUUGGCUCUAACCUGCUUCCAAUCGUCUCAUCGAGACUAAAACCGAAUCUGACCUUGACCUCAAAUCGGGUGAGACUACCCGCUGAACUUAA
RNAcentral lists this ribosomal RNA (353 nucleotides) under Lactifluus hygrophoroides. Its description in RNAcentral is "eukaryotic LSU rRNA". The stretch from base 1 to 105 matches the Rfam family "5.8S ribosomal RNA", at positions 50 to 154 of the family's 154-position model. The record is from RNAcentral. Lineage: Eukaryota; Fungi; Basidiomycota; Agaricomycetes; Russulales; Russulaceae.